RNAcentral lists this long non-coding RNA (779 nucleotides) under Homo sapiens (human). RNAcentral describes it as "non-protein coding lnc-HRASLS-8:2". The record is from RNAcentral. Lineage: Eukaryota; Metazoa; Chordata; Mammalia; Primates; Hominidae.
AGUCAGCAGCUGUAAUGCUAGUAACAUUAUCUCCACACAGCACCUCACACUUUACAAAACUCCCACAGAUACUUUCUCUCGUCUACUUCUUACCACCACUCUGAGAAGUCAACAGGAAAAGGAUCAUGCUUUGUGUGGAGGAUAAAGAUGGAAGUUUUACUCCAGGUACUAGAAGCACCUCAGAGGCUCAAAGGGCGGCUUUAAAAACCCACUACAGACUUGGGGGCUUAAAACAACUCUUCUGGAGGUCUGAAGUCCAAAAUCAAGGUGUCCACAGGGCUGUGCUCCUUCCAAAAGCUCUAGCGCAAAACUGACUCAUGCAGUACCGGGAUCGCUGCCAGAGCGACGGAGCGCGCGAGCAGCGCGGCAUCAACAGGCAGAAGGUGCCACGGGGCGGACGGGACCCACUGCCCGGGUCCAGACUUUCCAUCCGAGAAAGCAAAAGCUUUCAGUAUCCAACUUAUUAGAAGAUAACAUCUUGAUAGGGUUCUCGGGCCUUCUUAAAAUAAAUCUGUCAGACUGUGCUUUUGAAUCUGUCCUGUGUCAAGGUUGCUCCCCCAGGGCAGGGCAGCAAUUUAGCUUUUGCAAGAUCCUGCACUUGCUCCUCAAACGCCAAAGCAGCAACGCGAGCAACUUCCGAGCAGCUGCUUCUUCCCCACUCAAAGCCACAUCACCAACUUCCUCAGCAGCAGCCCCAGCAGCAAUCUGGGUGUUCAAUCUAUCUCGAUCUCACAAUGCCCAUGCCUCCUAGAGGUCUUCCCAGAGCUUAGGAGUCUUUG